RNAcentral lists this transfer RNA (72 nucleotides) under Methanotrichaceae archaeon. Its description in RNAcentral is "tRNA-Ala". It matches the Rfam family "tRNA". From Rfam's summary of the family: Transfer RNA (tRNA) molecules are approximately 80 nucleotides in length. Their secondary structure includes four short double-helical elements and three loops (D, anti-codon, and T loops). The record is from RNAcentral. Lineage: Archaea; Methanobacteriati; Methanobacteriota; Methanomicrobia; Methanotrichales; Methanotrichaceae.
GGGCUUGUAGAUCAGUGGUAGAUCGCCGCCUUCGCAAGGCGGAGGCCGCGGGUCCGAAUCCCGCCAAGUCCA